Molecule: ribosomal RNA, 620 nt
Filed under: uncultured Brevundimonas sp.
Lineage: Bacteria; Pseudomonadati; Pseudomonadota; Alphaproteobacteria; Caulobacterales; Caulobacteraceae
Description: bacterial SSU rRNA
Rfam family: Bacterial small subunit ribosomal RNA
Source: RNAcentral
GGGAACGUGCCUUUAGGUUCGGAAUAACUCAGGGAAACUUGUGCUAAUACCGAAUGUGCCCUUCGGGGGAAAGAUUUAUCGCCUUUAGAGCGGCCCGCGUCUGAUUAGCUUGUUGGUGGGGUAAUGGCCCACCAAGGCGACGAUCAGUAGCUGGUCUGAGAGGAUGACCAGCCACAUUGGGACUGAGACACGGCCCAAACUCCUACGGGAGGCAGCAGUGGGGAAUCUUGCGCAAUGGGCGAAAGCCUGACGCAGCCAUGCCGCGUGGAUGAUGAAGGUCUUAGGAUUGUAAAAUCCUUUCACCGGUGAAGAUAAAGACUGUAGCCGGAGAAGAAGCCCCGGCUAACCUCGUGCCAGCAGCCGCGGUAAUACGAAGGGGGCUAGCGUUGCUCGGAAUUACUGGGCGUAAAGGGAGCGUAGGCGGACAUUUAAGUCAGGGGUGAAAUCCCAGAGCUCAACUCUGGAACUGCCUUUGAUACUGGGUGUCUUGAGUGUGAGAGAGGUAAGUGGAGCUCCGAGUGUAGAGGUGAAAUUCGUAGAUAUUCGGAAGAACACCAGUGGCGAAGGCGACUUACUGGCUCAUUACUGACGCUGAGGCUCGAAAGCGUGGGGAGCAAACA